GUUGGAGGUCUCGCUGGAACCGUAGUCACGACGGAGUCUUGUUCCUGUUCAGUUCGAAACCAUGUUCGGCGGAACUCGACUCGUCAUUUUGUUCGGGUAAUCACUUGCAAUCUCUUGGGAUAAUCUCAAUUCUCUACUCGUCCUCUUUACAAGAAAACGCAACGCAAUCUAAGGUUGAUGUUCAAGAAAUAAAGAAAUCAAG
This 202-nucleotide long non-coding RNA is filed under the name Helianthus annuus (common sunflower). RNAcentral's name for it is "sRNA HanXRQr2_Chr10g0432611". The record is from RNAcentral. Lineage: Eukaryota; Viridiplantae; Streptophyta; Magnoliopsida; Asterales; Asteraceae.